RNAcentral lists this ribosomal RNA (494 nucleotides) under uncultured bacterium. Its description in RNAcentral is "partial 16S ribosomal RNA". It matches the Rfam family "Bacterial small subunit ribosomal RNA", at positions 28 to 504 of the family's 1533-position model. The record is from RNAcentral.
GAUGAACGCUGGCGGCGUGCCUAAUACAUGCAAGUCGAGCGAACAGAUGAGGAGCUUGCUCCUCUGACGUUAGCGGCGGACGGGUGAGUAACACGUGGAUAACCUACCUAUAAGACUGGGAUAACUUCGGGAAACCGGAGCUAAUACCGGAUAAUAUAUUGAACCGCAUGGUUCAAUAGUGAAAGACGGUUUUGCUGUCACUUAUAGAUGGAUCCGCGCCGCAUUAGCUAGUUGGUAAGGUAACGGCUUACCAAGGCAACGAUGCGUAGCCGACCUGAGAGGGUGAUCGGCCACACUGGAACUGAGACACGGUCCAGACUCCUACGGGAGGCAGCAGUAGGGAAUCUUCCGCAAUGGGCGAAAGCCUGACGGAGCAACGCCGCGUGAGUGAUGAAGGUCUUCGGAUCGUAAAACUCUGUUAUUAGGGAAGAACAAAUGUGUAAGUAACUAUGCACGUCUUGACGGUACCUAAUCAGAAAGCCACGGCUAACUAC